AUUCUCAAAACUCAAAGUGAGUUAUUGGUGGGUGUUACACAGAUUGAGCUUCCGUAAAGCAUGCUGUGUACUCAUGCCCCUGGCUGUCAAUGAGGUCAUGGCGGCAGGUCGUGCCCUGGAGCUUGAGUGAGAGUCUGUGAGAGUUGGCAGGCUCACUGGCCACAGCAAGAGAAGCCCUGGCAAGGGAAACCCUGGGGCCUUCAGUGCUGGGGUGAGUGUGCUUCCUUGGAUGCCGUAGAUUAGCUUACUAACAGCACUUGUUCCAACGUAUCUUUUAAGAGCUUAUUCUUUGGGGAUAACUUCUCUUUUCAGUACUAGCACCUGAAAUAAAUCUCAUAGCUCCUGUCUUUAGCUCAAAAGUUAUCAAAAGUUACAUUAGAAACACAAUUCUAGCAAUGAGAGAAAUGGUAUAUAUUAACUAUAAAUCUUUUUAGUUUUUAGAUGAUUUCUGUACUAUAUCAUUUAAAUUUUUUAGUGGAUAUCUUUAAAAUCUGAGCAUCCCAUAGGCAUCUGAUAGCUUUUUAUUCCAUCUGAUUUGGAUCAAGAACAGUUUUUCACAGUUUCACUCCACGCACGGAGCACUUGCCCCGCAGGCAUGGCCUCCCGGCUCGCUCUCCAGCACUGGAUACCGUGGGUGCGCUGCUCCAUUCCUGUACUCUCUGCUUUGGGAGGUUCCAAGUUAGGCCUGACUAGCCUGGACUGUAUUGGGGGUGCCUUAAAAUAACAGUAACAACAAAAGCUGCUGGAGAGGUUGGUCAGGGUUAUGUGCACUGGCUGCUUGUCCAUAGGAGCACCUUCCUGGAGGCUCACGCCUGUCUGUACCUACAGUCUGAGGCAAUCUACAUACAUACACACAUACACACAUAAGCAAACAUGCAUAUACAUAAAAACAGAAAAAAAUUAAAAUGCUCAAAAUGAAAAAAAAACCCUUUCCCUGACUCGCUAAUAAUAACAUAGUCCGCUGCUGUCAACAGCUAUUACAGAUGUUAUCCACUGUCUCCACCUUUGUCUUCGCAGAUCUGGUAUUGUGUCCAUCUGUUAUUACUAUUAGUUUUGUGGCUGAUGUGGCAGAGAUGCUCAGGCGUGUCUGCACAUGCUGAGUGUACAGGCUAAAGAGGGUUCUUAUUUGCUGAUACUGUAUGAACUUGAAUUCUCCCCACAUUCCUUUCAUCUGGAGAGCAUUAUAUUCAGGCCAUGGUGGGUACUGGGAGAGCAUUGAUGAGCUUUGGGGAGACUGGAUUUAUAAAAACAUCAGUCAUGUAAUGACUAAGUGCAGCACAUAGACAUAGUGUGCUAUUCUUAUGCCUUGGAGUCUAAAUCUUGAGGGGGUAAAUAUAAAUGAGCUGCCCACAAAGAUCGAAAGGGAUGGUGACAGGUGUCUCACAUAGUGUGCCGGCUGACAGGUGUCUCACAUACAUAGUGUGCCGGCUGACAGGUGUCUCACAUACAUAGUGUGCCGGCUGACAGGUGUCUCACAUACAUAGUGUGCCGGCUGACAGGUGUCUCACAUACAUAGUGUGCCGGCUGACAGGUGUCUCACAUACAUAGUGUGCCGGCUGACAGGUGUCUCACAUACAUAGUGUGCCAGCUGACAGGUGUCUCACUUAGUGUGCCGGCAGGUCAGCUAUUUCACAGGUGGCCAGCUGCUCACUGGUGUGCUAGGGGAGCUAUGGAGGAAGGCAGAGGGAAGAUUGCUUUGUUACAAGUGCUAAUGUUUUGAGGGAAAGUAAAGCCAUCUGUGCUCCCCUUGUUUCCUUGUGCUUGACUUCGGGUUUGCCUGUUGGAAGACUCCAACAGGUUUACUCCAAGCUGUGUACAGUCACUUCCAGUGAGCACUGUGCCGAGGCCAAGUACCAGCAGAGGGGAUGCUCAUAGCUGCAGGACUUGAAGAAAGUCCUCAGGAGGCACACGGGUUUGUGUUCUCACCACGAGAUGCUCUACCUGAGGCACAUGUUCAGGAGCCGAGAGGAAGUUGUAGUUCUUGAAAUUCUGUUAAAUUGUCUAAAUGUAGCCGAUUUUGUUAGCUCAGUUGUUUUUCUGUAUCUUAUCUC
Apodemus sylvaticus (European woodmouse) is the source of this 2051-nucleotide long non-coding RNA. RefSeq lists it as uncharacterized. Lineage: Eukaryota; Metazoa; Chordata; Mammalia; Rodentia; Muridae. The transcript is spliced from 3 exons. The record is from RefSeq and is a predicted model, not a curated record.